This 73-nucleotide non-coding RNA is filed under the name unclassified sequences. The record is from RNAcentral.
AAGACAGUCUAGGAGUCUAUAAAAUUGUUACUGAAGAGACUAGAACGAAACUUCUUUAAUUAGAAGUCUAACA